RNAcentral lists this transfer RNA (57 nucleotides) under Ovis aries (sheep). It matches the Rfam family "tRNA", at positions 8 to 63 of the family's 71-position model. Rfam says of the family: Transfer RNA (tRNA) molecules are approximately 80 nucleotides in length. Lineage: Eukaryota; Metazoa; Chordata; Mammalia; Artiodactyla; Bovidae. The record is from Rfam by way of RNAcentral.
UGGCUCAGAGGGUAAAGCGUCUGCCUACAAUGCAGGAGACCCGGGUUUGAUUCCUGG